RNAcentral lists this long non-coding RNA (301 nucleotides) under Rattus norvegicus (Norway rat). RNAcentral describes it as "long non-coding RNA NONRATT030436". The record is from RNAcentral. Lineage: Eukaryota; Metazoa; Chordata; Mammalia; Rodentia; Muridae.
GCCGACCUAGUAGUGUGUGACGGGGCUCCUGAUGGUUUUUUUUGGACUGCUUCAUGCUGCUGAAAAUAGAUGGACCCUCAUGUAUGUAAAGCAAGUAUUCUGCUUAAGGUUCACCCCUUGCCAGACAGCUUUGUACUUUGUGUCAACCCUCCUGCCUUCUCAUCUGAGUGCCCGUCCAAUCCUAAGUUCUGUUUUUGAUUUGUUUUGUUUUGUUCUAGUUUAGCCAGCCAUCUAUUCAAAACAUUUUCUGAGCACAUAUUGUGUUGGGAAAGUGUGCAUAAAUAAAUUCCAUUGAUCUCUA